AGAGUUCAGUUCCAACCCUGCUUCAGCACAGCUGCCUGUAAUUAUUAAGUGCUCCUGAAGAUCUUAAUCAGCUUGUUAAGCCAUGUUUGAUCAGGUUUGGAGCUUUGCAGGAAGGUAGAUCUCCAGGAACAGGGUUGGGCUUCACUUGUGUAGGGCUCUAUGAAACAUCUUUUAACCAAAAACCUACCCUUUUCCUGCGCCAAUUCAGAAAUGGUUGCUUUUAAAUCAAAUCUCAAGAUCAUCAUGAAAUGUCUGUAAAUUUUCUAUGUUCAUCUUUCGUAAUUGAAGUAGGAACACCAAGUCAAUAUCCUGAUUGGCUUUUCCUUCUGUCCAGUCCAGAAUAAACUUGUGCACUGAAAUGGUUUUUCCAAUGCCAGCGAUGCCUUUGGGUGAUCUUCCCAGUCCAUAACUCUCCAGCAUCAAAUUCACGGUCAUCUAGAAAAUUAUAAAGCAGCUCUGAUACAGAUGCCAUCGCCUUUCAUAGACUAUUGGACCAAAAGAAAAGGAAAUAAAGAGUUGGUUUGGUCUUAAAGAUUCAUCUCAAUGCUUGUCUCAUCGGACUUAAAGCUUUAUGAUCCUGCCAUUUUGUAAGGCUUUUGGAUCACAGUUCAUGAUUACACUUGUGUAGUAGUUUCCCCAUUUAGUCCUAGCCUUCUUGGAAAACUUAGCUUAAUCAUUUCA
Long non-coding RNA from Carassius gibelio (silver crucian carp), 681 nucleotides. RefSeq lists it as uncharacterized. The transcript has 4 exons. NCBI's taxonomy places the organism in Eukaryota, Metazoa, Chordata, Actinopteri, Cypriniformes, Cyprinidae. The record is from RefSeq and is a predicted model, not a curated record.